AUUGAACGCUGGCGGCAGGCCUAACACAUGCAAGUCGAACGAGUGGCGGACGGGUGAGUAAUGUCUGGGAAACUGCCUGAUGGAGGGGGAUAACUACUGGAAACGGUAGCUAAUACCGCAUACCAUCGGAUGUGCCCAGAUGGGAUUCGCUAGUAGGUGGGGUAAAGGCUCACCUAGGCGACGAUCCCUAGCUGGUCUGAGAGGGUUACCAGCCACACUGGAACUGAGACAAGGUCCAGAAGCCGACGGGAGGCAGCAGUGGGGAAUAGUGCACAAUGGGCGCAAGCCGGAGGCAGCCAUGCCGCGUGUAUGAAGAAGGCCUUCGGGGUGUAAAGUACUUUCAGCGGGGAGGCGUUACCCGCAGAAGAAGCACCGGCUAACUCCGUGCCAGCAGCCGCGGUAAUUC
RNAcentral lists this ribosomal RNA (406 nucleotides) under uncultured bacterium. RNAcentral describes it as "partial 16S ribosomal RNA". It matches the Rfam family "Bacterial small subunit ribosomal RNA", at positions 29 to 526 of the family's 1533-position model. The record is from RNAcentral.